AUAAACAAUAACCAUUUCAAUUUCAGGUUCAAAUCCGAUUUUGAUUUUAAUUUCUAAUUUACCUCUUAAAUUAAAUUCAAACUAAAAACAACCACAACCACCACCGUGACUGCCGCCACCACCACCAUUGACCGUUUCCACCACCGUGAUAACCCACCACCACCACUCCCUUUGCCGCCCUCUCUCUCCCUCCUCCUCAAUCGACCACCGCACACCCUUCGUCGCUCUCCCUCCUCCACGCACAGCCUCCCCUGUCUCCCUCCUCAAUUGACUCCCCUGCCAUCUCUCCUCCGCGCUCAGCCACCGCGCCGCCGUUCUGGUGUGUCGCCUCCUCCGCGCAGCCCUCCUCUAGUCACGGACCACCGCCCAACUUCCUCCCUUUUCUUCUUCCUCCUUCGUGCACCUGCUGCUCUUUUGCUGGUGUUCCAGUAAAUUGAAAGUUUCAGUUGGAAACUUUGAGAAAUCGAACUCGGAGCUCAGGAAGAACGAACCAACGAAAAGGCUUAGCAAAUCGUGGAAUUGAGGUACUGCUGGGGACCACGGAAACGAGUAGUGGCGAAGAUUUCACUAUUAUCAAGUUCACUUAAGUUAAUGUUAAGUUGUAACAAGUUUAAGUAAAGAUUCUUGAUUAAGUUACGUACUUUUAUUAAGUAAUUGAGAAGGAUGAUUAUGUUAAUUUUGGAGUUUAAUAGCUUAAGAUUGAUAGUUGCCUUGUAAUUCCCAAGAGGGAGUUACGGAAGGUAAUGUCUCGACCAAAUUAGGUUAAUUCCGCUGCUAAUUAUGACCUCUAAUUGAAUUAGAGGUCGGGGCGUUACAUAUAGGGAUGUCAGAUUGUUAGUGGGCAGGCUUUUUAGGAGAUCUGCUUGUGCAUCCGCCCCAAGCGGGCGGCGAUGGACGAAAGUUUAUUGGGUAAUGGGGUCAAAAAUGUAUUUGUCGCUGGUGAA
This is a long non-coding RNA of Spinacia oleracea (spinach), 944 nucleotides long. RefSeq lists it as uncharacterized. The record is from RefSeq and is a predicted model, not a curated record. Lineage: Eukaryota; Viridiplantae; Streptophyta; Magnoliopsida; Caryophyllales; Amaranthaceae. The transcript has 3 exons.